GAUGAACGCUGGCGGCGUGCCUAAUACAUGCAAGUCGAGCGAACAGACGAGGAGCUUGCUCCUCUGACGUUAGCGGCGGACGGGUGAGUAACACGUGGAUAACCUACCUAUAAGACUGGGAUAACUUCGGGAAACCGGAGCUAAUACCGGAUAAUAUAUUGAACCGCAUGGUUCAAUAGUGAAAGACGGUUUUGCUGUCACUUAUAGAUGGAUCCGCGCCGCAUUAGCUAGUUGGUAAGGUAACGGCUUACCAAGGCAACGAUGCGUAGCCGACCUGAGAGGGUGAUCGGCCACACUGGAACGGAGACACGGUCCAGACUCCUACGGGAGGCAGAAGUAGGGAAUCUUCCGAAAUGGGCGAAAGCCUGACGGAGCAACGCCGCGUGAGUGAUGAAGGUCUUCGGAUCGUAAAACUCUGUUAUUAGGGAAGAACAAAUGUGUAAGUAACUAUGCACGUCUUGACGGUACCUAAUCAGAAAGCCACGGCUAACUACGUG
RNAcentral lists this ribosomal RNA (497 nucleotides) under uncultured bacterium. Its description in RNAcentral is "partial 16S ribosomal RNA". It matches the Rfam family "Bacterial small subunit ribosomal RNA", at positions 28 to 507 of the family's 1533-position model. The record is from RNAcentral.